RNAcentral lists this ribosomal RNA (461 nucleotides) under uncultured Opitutus sp. Its description in RNAcentral is "bacterial SSU rRNA". It matches the Rfam family "Bacterial small subunit ribosomal RNA", at positions 920 to 1382 of the family's 1533-position model. Lineage: Bacteria; Pseudomonadati; Verrucomicrobiota; Opitutia; Opitutales; Opitutaceae. The record is from RNAcentral.
CCCGCACAAGCGGUGGAGCAUGUGGCUCAAUUCGAUGCAACGCGAAGAACCUUACCAGGCCUUGACAUGCACUAGACAGACUCUGAAAGGAGUCCUCCCCUUCGGGGCUGGUGCACAGGUGCUGCAUGGCUGUCGUCAGCUCGUGUCGUGAGAUGUUGCGUUAAGUCGCGCAACGAGCGCAACCCCUGUCCUUAGUUGCCAUCAUUAAGUUGGGUACUCUAGGGAGACAAACCCUCUCUGAGGGUGGGAAGGUGGGGAUGACGUCAAGUCAGGAUGGCCCUUACGGCCUGGGCUGCACACGUGCUACAAUGCCCGAUACAGAGGGAAGCAAUACCGCGAGGUGGAGCAAAUCCUCAAAAUCGGGCCCAGUUCAGAUUGUAGUCUGCAACUCGACUACAUGAAGUUGGAAUCGCUAGUAAUGGCGCAUCAGCUACGGCGCCGUGAAUACGUUCCCGGGCCUU